Phyllopteryx taeniolatus (common seadragon) is the source of this 1684-nucleotide long non-coding RNA. RefSeq lists it as uncharacterized. The record is from RefSeq and is a predicted model, not a curated record. NCBI's taxonomy places the organism in Eukaryota, Metazoa, Chordata, Actinopteri, Syngnathiformes, Syngnathidae. The transcript has 4 exons.
ACGCAGUAUAAUAUUGUCUCUUGUAAAGCAAUAAAAACAUCAGGGGGAAUACAAGGUCACCCUUCGAACAUGCCUGGGCAGAAUUCUGGGAGAGGCGAGGGGGUGGGGGACACCCAUGAACAUGUUGUGACAUAUCAGGUCAGGAAACACUGGGGGUGACAGACGGUCAGUGGGAGGAGUCUAUCAGCUAUGAGCAGAAACUAAUGGUACCUGGGUUUUGAAGGGGAGUGGAACGCUCAAGUAGGAGGGGGUGACAGCAAGCAUGCAUCAGCGGAGGCUGUCAGGCAAGAUUCCACGCUCCUGUGCGUCUGUAGGAGAGGAAAGACUGUCAAAUCACGGUGUGAAGAGAAUUAAACGUGACCUGCAGGGGGUGACAUUGCGACGCAGAUUGGCUGUGAGGAGACAUCAAGGAGGAAGAGGAGGAGGAAGACUCCCCCGGGAAAGGUUCCUUCAAAUGGUGACCCUGACGUGAUCCUGAAAGAACAUAAGAUAAAAGGACAGAGGAGCUGACAGGAAUUCAGUUGGACUGCAAACCGAAAUAAAAAAGAAACGGCUGCCCGGACUGGCUGCUGUUGGUGAAAUUUGGAUCCAGGGGCUGAAAAUUUUGACGGACAGCAUGAGCCUGGCGUGUGCUGAUGUAUGUUUGCGGUCAUCCGUGACAUGUUCCCGCUCUCCGAGCCGACGGGACGAGGCACCCGGACUACAAACCUAUCAUGGAUCCCAGUUCUCACUUUGAAAAUUGCAUAAGUAUUUGGACAGAUAAGACAAGGUCACAUCCCUCCCGUUUAAGGGAGGCAAAUGUUAUUUAUAGAAUUGCUUUGCUUGACAGAUUGCCAGCUGAAGUUAGGACUGAACUUUUAAAGACCCUGACCUCAUGAAAGGGGGAGAUAGCUACUUUAAUCGUCAUGUGUCACACCAUUUGAAACUUUUUGUCGACAGACAACACAAAUCAUCAGAUGAGGUAAAGGACAUGCAGGAACAACUUUUAAAGCUACAAUUGGCCCAGGCCCAGAAAGUGGCCAUUAAAAAAUAAAUAAAUAAAAACUAAAAAUGGAAGCAGAAAAGCAGAUCUGGAUGGCGCAGGGGUCAAUGAGGAGACGAGGCACGAGUCGUGACAGGGGAUACACCAACGGAGGCAAGGGAAGCGCUCGCCGACCUCCAACGGACCAAGCGUGCUUCAAUUGUGGUCAGUAUGGACACUGGUAUUGUCAAUAUAAUGCUCCCCCACUGAGCAACAGAGACCUCCAGUGGGACCCGGAGAGGCCCCACCUCAAAGAGGAGGCUACAGAGCUCCACACGGCAGAGGUGGAUGCAGCCCGGCACACUGGCAACAGCAUCCGCAGCAGGCUCCACAGCAACAACAGCCAUCUAGCCAGUACUACUGCGAUGAGGACUUGUCCGAAUGCCCAAUGAGCCCGGCGCCAGGGGACGGAGGAAAGGCAGAGCCUCUUAACCCCGCUAAGGGAAGACGACCACCUGAAUGAGCUUUGCAGGAGUGCCCAUGAGUCUGCCGAUUACGACACCAGAGCAGAGCAACGAUGACGUCAGAUGGGACCAUGGACCAAUCAGACGACAGCGAUUCCAUACUUCCACUUUGAAACAUUGUAUAAGUCUGGGGUAGAAUCAGAUAGUUUUUUGUUCGACUACUCUAUCUGCUAAGGAUAAGACAGGGAUAGUUAAGAAC